RNAcentral lists this ribosomal RNA (251 nucleotides) under uncultured prokaryote. RNAcentral describes it as "partial 16S ribosomal RNA". It matches the Rfam family "Bacterial small subunit ribosomal RNA", at positions 524 to 774 of the family's 1533-position model. The record is from RNAcentral.
CACGUAGGGGGCGAGCGUUGUCCGGAAUUACUGGGCGUAAAGGGCGCGCAGGCUGUUAUGCGAGUCUGCUGUGAAAUGUACCGGCUCAACCGGUGCCUUGCGGCGGAUACUGCAUAGCUGGAGUACUGGAGAGGGAAGUGGAAUUCCCGGUGUAGCGGUGAAAUGCGCAGAUAUCAGGAGGAACACCGAUGGCGAAGGCAGGUCUCUGGGCCACUACUGACGCUGAGAAGCGAAAGCAUGGGGAGCGAACA